AGUGAACGCUGGCGGUAGACCUAACACAUGCAAGUCGAACGGCAGCACAGUAAGAGCUUGCUCUUACGGGUGGCGAGUGGCGGACGGGUGAGGAAUACAUCGGAAUCUACUUUUUCGUGGGGGAUAACGUAGGGAAACUUACGCUAAUACCGCAUACGACCUACGGGUGAAAGCAGGGGAUCUUCGGACCUUGCGCGAUUGAAUGAGCCGAUGUCGGAUUAGCUAGUUGGCGGGGUAAAGGCCCACCAAGGCGACGAUCCGUAGCUGGUCUGAGAGGAUGAUCAGCCACACUGGAACUGAGACACGGUCCAGACUCCUACGGGAGGCAGCAGUGGGGAAUAUUGGACAAUGGGCGCAAGCCUGAUCCAGCCAUACCGCGUGGGUGAAGAAGGUCUUCGGGUUGUAAAGCCCUUUUGUUGGGAAAGAAAAGCAGCAGGUUAAUACCCUGCUGUUCUGACGGUACCCAAAGAAUAAGCACCGGCUAACUUCGUG
This 492-nucleotide ribosomal RNA is filed under the name uncultured bacterium. Its description in RNAcentral is "partial 16S ribosomal RNA". It matches the Rfam family "Bacterial small subunit ribosomal RNA", at positions 29 to 507 of the family's 1533-position model. The record is from RNAcentral.